AAUGAACGCUGGCGGCGUGGAUUAGGCAUGCAAGUCGAGCGAGAAGCUCUCCUUCGGGAGAGUGGAAAGCGGCAAACGGGGUAGUAAUGCGUCGGAACGUACCCUUUUGUCCGGAAUAGCCGGGGGAAACCUCGGGUAAUGCCGGAUAACCUCUUCGGAGCAAAGAUUUAUCGCAGAAGGAGCGGCCGACGUGAGACUAGCUUGAUGGUAGGUAACGGCCUACCAUGGCAAAGAUCUCUAGGGGGUGUGAGAGCAUGGCCCCCACCACCGGAACUGAGACACUGUCCGGACACCUACGGGUGGCUGCAGUCGAGAAUCUUCCGCAAUGGGCGAAAGCCUGACGGAGCGACGCCGCGUGCGGGAUGAAGGCCCUUGGGUU
This 379-nucleotide ribosomal RNA is filed under the name uncultured bacterium. RNAcentral describes it as "bacterial SSU rRNA". It matches the Rfam family "Bacterial small subunit ribosomal RNA", at positions 29 to 424 of the family's 1533-position model. The record is from RNAcentral.